Molecule: ribosomal RNA, 473 nt
Filed under: uncultured bacterium
Lineage: Bacteria
Description: bacterial SSU rRNA
Rfam family: Bacterial small subunit ribosomal RNA
Source: RNAcentral
GAGUUUGAUCCUGGCUCAGGAUGAACGCUGGCGGCGUGCUUAACACAUGCAAGUCGAACGAGAAUCAGUGGAACAAGGAUUCGUCUGAGGGAAGCUGAGGAAAGUGGCGGACGGGUGAGUAACGCGUGAGCAAUCUGCCUUGGAGUGGGGAAUAACGGCUGGAAACAGCCGCUAAUACCGCAUAAUGCAUCUGAGUCGCAUGGUUUGGAUGCCAAAGAUUUAUCGCUCUGAGAUGAGCUCGCGUCUGAUUAGCUAGUUGGCGGGGUAACGGCCCACCAAGGCGACGAUCAGUAGCCGGACUGAGAGGUUGGCCGGCCACAUUGGGACUGAGACACGGCCCAGACUCCUACGGGAGGCAGCAGUGGGGAAUAUUGGGCAAUGGGCGCAAGCCUGACCCAGCAACGCCGCGUGAAGGAAGAAGGCUUUGGGGUUGUAAACUUCUUUUAUUCGGGACGAGAAAGUGACGGUACCGA